This 451-nucleotide ribosomal RNA is filed under the name uncultured bacterium. RNAcentral describes it as "partial 16S ribosomal RNA". It matches the Rfam family "Bacterial small subunit ribosomal RNA", at positions 29 to 523 of the family's 1533-position model. The record is from RNAcentral.
AACGAACGCUGGCGGCAGGCUUAACACAUGCAAGUCGAACGGGUGUAGCAAUACAUCAGUGGCAGACGGGUGAGUAACACGUGGGAACCUUCCUAGGGGUACGGAACAACUCAGGGAAACUUGAGCUAAUACCGUAUACGUCCGUGAGGAGAAAGAUUUAUCGCCCUUAGACGGGCCCGCGUCGGAUUAGCUAGUUGGCGGGGUAACGGCCUACCAAGGCGACGAUCCGUAGCUGAUCUUAGAGGAUGAUCAGCCACACUGGGACUGAGACACGGCCCAGACUCCUACGGGAGGCAGCAGUGGGGAAUCUUGGACAAUGGGCGCAAGCCUGAUCCAGCCAUGCCGCGUGAGUGAAGAAGGUCUUCGGAUUGUAAAGCCCUUUUGCCAGGGACGAUAAUGACGGUACCUGGAGAAUAAGCCCCGGCAAACUUCGUGCCAGCAGCCGCGGUAA